GACGAACGCUGGCGGCGUGCCUAAUACAUGCAAGUCGAACGCUUCUUUCCUCCCGAGUGCUUGCACUCAAUUGGAAAGAGGAGUGGCGGACGGGUGAGUAACACGUGGGUAACCUACCCAUCAGAGGGGGAUAACACUUGGAAACAGGUGCUAAUACCGCAUAACAGUUUAUGCCGCAUGGCAUAAGAGUGAAAGGCGCUUUCGGGUGUCGCUGAUGGAUGGACCCGCGGUGCAUUAGCUAGUUGGUGAGGUAACGGCUCACCAAGGCCACGAUGCAUAGCCGACCUGAGAGGGUGAUCGGCCACACUGGGACUGAGACUCGGCCCAGACUCCUACGGGAGGCAGCAGUAGGGAAUCUUCGGCAAUGGACGAAAGUCUGACCGAGCAACGCCGCGUGAGUGAAGAAGGUUUUCGGAUCGUAAAACUCUGUUGUUAGAGAAGAACAAGGACGUUAGUAACUGAACGUCCCCUGACGGUAUCUAACCAGAAAGCCACGGCUAACUACGUG
Molecule: ribosomal RNA, 508 nt
Filed under: uncultured bacterium
Lineage: Bacteria
Description: partial 16S ribosomal RNA
Rfam family: Bacterial small subunit ribosomal RNA
Source: RNAcentral